This is a small nucleolar RNA of Rhinichthys klamathensis goyatoka, 299 nucleotides long. The record is from RefSeq and is a predicted model, not a curated record. NCBI's taxonomy places the organism in Eukaryota, Metazoa, Chordata, Actinopteri, Cypriniformes, Leuciscidae.
GCCCAGUGAUGAGACCAAGGCGAAUAUGAGCCCACUGAAUUUGAGUCUGAGCUCUCCUGUGUUCCUAUUGGCUGGUAAUCUUGGCUGGGCAGUGAAGGUUUGCUGUCUUGCUGUAAGGGCCUGCCUACAUUCAAUAAGCCUCUUCCUCUAAAGUUCCUAUCCUUUGAAGAUAUAGGGGAGGAGAAAGGAGGGGGCUUACAGUUGUUGUUUUUGUGUGUUUGUGAGGGUCACAGGUUGAGUCUCAGUUCUCUGGAAUAAUUCUGUUGGCGUUGAGCUCUCUCUUUGGUAAUCUGAGGGCA